RNAcentral lists this microRNA precursor (157 nucleotides) under Paramuricea clavata. The record is from RNAcentral. Lineage: Eukaryota; Metazoa; Cnidaria; Anthozoa; Malacalcyonacea; Plexauridae.
AAGGAGAACAGUUUAGAACUGAUAGAGCUAUAAAGUAUACGUUUAGUUUUGGUUUUCUCCUGUAGUGACCCUGUAGAUGAUCCUUACUGGAGGAAACUUAAACUAAACUAACUUCAUUUUUACUGGAUAGCUCUAUCAGUUCUAAACUGUUCUUCCU